UAAGUGUGACAGGGAGGCAACACGUCGAACGUGGUUCGCGGUAGGCCCUCAGAGGGCCUACCGCGAAAACCGAAACUCGCAAAUUGCGGGGAUCUUUCUCUUUUACUCUCAUUAAGACGUAAUUAGAGUGACAGAGAAAAAUGCCCGCAAUUGAUGAACUUCGAUUUUCGCUGUUAUAGCCCAGAAGGGCUACCGCGAAAACCGACAUUCGCUAAUUGCGGGGAUCUUUCUCUUUUACUCCAAUGAAGGCGUAAUUAGU
Molecule: long non-coding RNA, 259 nt
Organism: Cydia strobilella
Lineage: Eukaryota; Metazoa; Arthropoda; Insecta; Lepidoptera; Tortricidae
Exons: 3
Source: RefSeq, a predicted model, not a curated record